GUUGUUGAUACCAUGCUGACAAAUAAAAUUACAUUUAAUUUAACUGCAUAUAGGAAAGUUGUGCAUGAUUAAGCUUUUUUUUUUUUAAAUGUGGUGUAAAUUCUAUAAAGAAAAAAAUAUAUCUAUACAUUUGUCUGUCUGACUCAAAUGUCUUAUUACACUGGCCAUAAAAAAAAAAAUCCUUAAUUCUUUUUCUUGGUUGUCCAUGGAUACUGAGUGGAGAUGCAUCUUCAAAGGGUUCCUCACAUUCAUUUGCAUUUCUUGUGCUAAUAAAAGUGCUAUCAGCACUCCCCGCCCCUUAGCUACUCCCACAGCCCUGCUUUGUCUCGCCCUUUUUUUCACCUCCAGUCACUUGGGAGCAAGAGCCACCGGGAGCCUCACUAAUUGGGCUAGCAACAAAGGACUGAAGCAACCCUAAGGCCUUAGUGCUCCAGAAGUGAGCUGAAAAACACAGCUAUUGAAGGAAGGAGUGAAUGUUGCAUCUUUGCUCUUAUCCAUGCCUGGGCAGCACAAUCCCAUGUGAACUCAGAAGGAGAAGGGAGAGAAGAAAGCAGUAUGAUGGCAAAAGGGCUAAUCAGUGGAGAAAUGUGCUGUGCUUUUUUUCUUUGCCCACUGCACAACACUGAGGUUCACAGAAAAUAUAGCAGGGAUCUGAGUGUGUGCCAGGAAUGCUUGUCUUGCUCUCUCUGUGGAGUGACACUGACGACUCUCUUCUGACACUCCUCUGGGGUGGCCCUCUCAUCCAUCCAUGCACUUGUCUGCCGUGUUGACAAAGCUUUGCAGGUCUCUCUCCAUCAACACCACCACCUGACAGCGCUGCGUUUUACGCGGCAUGGAAGACUGUUGCGG
Molecule: long non-coding RNA, 849 nt
Organism: Cyprinus carpio carpio
Lineage: Eukaryota; Metazoa; Chordata; Actinopteri; Cypriniformes; Cyprinidae
Source: Ensembl